Non-coding RNA from Pelobates cultripes (western spadefoot toad), 211 nucleotides. Lineage: Eukaryota; Metazoa; Chordata; Amphibia; Anura; Pelobatidae. The record is from the annotation of a GenBank genome assembly.
AUACAACUCAGGAUAAGAAAACAUAAUAUUAAAAAUCCAGAGAUGUGAAAGUUCCCCUUGAAGAAAUUCUUAAAGGUGUUCUCCAACCACCAUGACAACUUCAGAGAUGUGAAGUAGUCAUGGUGGUAGCAGUAUGUAUCUGGAGUGUUUCUGCUUGACACACUGCACAUACAGAGUUAUUGGCACUUUUGUGCUGGGGGUUGGUGCACCC